AUGUCUUACAACGAACAACUUUUUUAACAUGACUUUUUACAAGUGAAUUAAAAGAGUUAAUAGUUUAUAAAAAUAUCAACUCUUUUUAUCGAAGUCUUGGAUGGACAUGGAAACAUGACUUCGUCAGUAGUAUAAAUUGAAAAAAAAAAAUUAUAUAUAUAUAUAUAUCAAUCAUAUAUCGGUAUAACGAUUUUUUAGAAUAAGUUAGGUGAUUAGAACUUUCAAUCGGAAAUUUGAAGCAUUAAAGACUUAGAAACAGUAUUUGUGAUUUUACAUACAAAUUUGAAUUACGAU
Molecule: non-coding RNA, 294 nt
Organism: Schizosaccharomyces pombe (fission yeast)
Lineage: Eukaryota; Fungi; Ascomycota; Schizosaccharomycetes; Schizosaccharomycetales; Schizosaccharomycetaceae
Source: the annotation of a GenBank genome assembly